Molecule: small nuclear RNA, 126 nt
Organism: Callithrix jacchus (white-tufted-ear marmoset)
Lineage: Eukaryota; Metazoa; Chordata; Mammalia; Primates; Cebidae
Source: Ensembl
ACCAUCCUUUUCUUGGGGUUGUGCUACUGUCCAAUGAGCACAUGAUGAGGGCAAUACUGCUAACGCCUAAACAACACACCCACAUCAACUAGAGCUUUGCUUUUCCUUGGUGCAAUUUUUGGAAAA